Molecule: non-coding RNA, 29 nt
Filed under: Mus musculus (house mouse)
Lineage: Eukaryota; Metazoa; Chordata; Mammalia; Rodentia; Muridae
Source: RNAcentral
UCCAUGGAACACAAACUGGGUCUGGCCUU